RNAcentral lists this ribosomal RNA (460 nucleotides) under uncultured bacterium. RNAcentral describes it as "bacterial SSU rRNA". It matches the Rfam family "Bacterial small subunit ribosomal RNA", at positions 340 to 789 of the family's 1533-position model. The record is from RNAcentral.
UACGGGAGGCAGCAGUGGGGAAUAUUGCACAAUGGGCGAAAGCCUGAUGCAGCUAUGCCGCGUGUAUGAAGAAGGCCUUAGGGUUGUAAAGUACUUUCAUCGGGGAGGAAAAAACAAAACUAAUAAUUUUAUUUCUUGACGUUACCCGAAAAAGAAGCACCGGCUAACUCCGUGCCAGCAGCCGCGGUAAUACGGAGGGUGCUAGCGUUAAUCAGAAUUACUGGGCGUAAAGAGCACGUAGGUGGUUUUUUUAAAGUCAGAUGUGAAAUCCCUGGGCUUAACCUGGAACUGCAUUUUGAAACUGAAAUACUAGAGUAUCGUAGAGGGAGGUAGAAUUCUAGGUGUAGCGGUGAAAUGCGUAGAUAUCUGGAGGAAUACCUGUGGCGAAAGCGGCCUCCUAAACGAAUACUGACACUGAGGUGCGAAAGCGUGGGGAGCAAAACAGGGAUUAGAUACCCGU